Molecule: ribosomal RNA, 484 nt
Filed under: uncultured bacterium
Lineage: Bacteria
Description: partial 16S ribosomal RNA
Rfam family: Bacterial small subunit ribosomal RNA
Source: RNAcentral
AUUGAACGCUGGCGGCAGGCCUAACACAUGCAAGUCGAGCGGAUGAAGGGAGCUUGCUCCUGGAUUCAGCGGCGGACGGGUGUGUAAUGCCUAGGAAUCUGCCUGGUAGUGGGGUAUAACGUCCGGAAACGGGCGCUAAUACCGCAUACGUCCUGCGGGAGAAAGUUGGGGAUCUUCGGACCUCACGCUCUCAGAUGAGCCUAGGUCGGAUUAGCUAGUUGGUGGGGUAAAGGCCUACCAAGCCGACGAUCCGUAACUGGUCUGAGAGGAUGAUCAGUCACACUGGAACUGAGACACGGUCCAGACUCCUACGGGAGGCAGCAGUGGGGAAUAUUGGACAAUGGGCGAAAGCCUGAUCCAGCCAUGCCGCGUGUGUGAAGAAGGUCUUCGGAUUGUAAAGCACUUUAAGUGGGGAGGAAGGGCAGUAAGUUAAUACCUUGCGGUUUUGACGGUACCAACAGAAUAAGCACCGGCUAACUACGUG